GGAGUUUGGGCCGUGUCUCAGUCCCAAUGUGGCCGUACACCCUCUCAGGCCGGCUACUGAUCGUUGCCUUGGUGGGCCGUUACCUCGCCAACUAGCUAAUCAGACGCGGGUCCAUCUCAUACCACCGGAGUUUUUCACACUGCACCAUGCGGUGCUGUGCGCUUAUGCGGUAUUAUCAGUCGUUUCCAACUGCUAUCCCCCAGUAUGAGGCAGGUUACCCACGCGUUACUCACCCGUCCGCCGGUCGCCAUCAAAGUUUGCAAGCAAACUUCAUGCUGCCCCUCGACUUGCAUGUGUUAAGCCUGUAGCUAGCGUUCAUC
This 320-nucleotide ribosomal RNA is filed under the name uncultured Clostridia bacterium. Its description in RNAcentral is "partial 16S ribosomal RNA". Lineage: Bacteria; Bacillati; Bacillota; Clostridia. The record is from RNAcentral.